Molecule: ribosomal RNA, 2906 nt
Filed under: Salmonella enterica subsp. enterica serovar Give
Lineage: Bacteria; Pseudomonadati; Pseudomonadota; Gammaproteobacteria; Enterobacterales; Enterobacteriaceae
Also listed under: 4 other names
Description: 23S ribosomal RNA
Rfam family: Bacterial large subunit ribosomal RNA
Source: RNAcentral
GGUUAAGCGACUAAGCGUACACGGUGGAUGCCCUGGCAGUCAGAGGCGAUGAAGGACGUGCUAAUCUGCGAUAAGCGCCGGUAAGGUGAUAUGAACCGUUAUAACCGGCGAUUUCCGAAUGGGGAAACCCAGUGUGACUCGUCACACUAUCAUUAACUGAAUCCAUAGGUUAAUGAGGCGAACCGGGGGAACUGAAACAUCUAAGUACCCCGAGGAAAAGAAAUCAACCGAGAUUCCCCCAGUAGCGGCGAGCGAACGGGGAGGAGCCCAGAGCCUGAAUCAGCAUAUGUGUUAGUGGAAGCGUCUGGAAAGGCGCGCGAUACAGGGUGACAGCCCCGUACACAAAAGCGCAUGUGCUGUGAGCUCGAUGAGUAGGGCGGGACACGUGGUAUCCUGUCUGAAUAUGGGGGGACCAUCCUCCAAGGCUAAAUACUCCUGACUGACCGAUAGUGAACCAGUACCGUGAGGGAAAGGCGAAAAGAACCCCGGCGAGGGGAGUGAAAAAGAACCUGAAACCGUGUACGUACAAGCAGUGGGAGCACCCUUUGGGGUGUGACUGCGUACCUUUUGUAUAAUGGGUCAGCGACUUAUAUUCUGUAGCAAGGUUAACCGAAUAGGGGAGCCGGAGGGAAACCGAGUCUUAAUUGGGCGUUAAGUUGCAGGGUAUAGACCCGAAACCCGGUGAUCUAGCCAUGGGCAGGUUGAAGGUUGGGUAACACUAACUGGAGGACCGAACCGACUAAUGUUGAAAAAUUAGCGGAUGACCUGUGGCUGGGGGUGAAAGGCCAAUCAAACCGGGAGAUAGCUGGUUCUCCCCGAAAGCUAUUUAGGUAGCGCCUCGUGAAUUCAUCUCCGGGGGUAGAGCACUGUUUCGGCUAGGGGGCCAUCCCGGCUUACCAACCCGAUGCAAACUGCGAAUACCGGAGAAUGUUAUCACGGGAGACACACGGCGGGUGCUAACGUCCGUCGUGAAGAGGGAAACAACCCAGACCGCCAGCUAAGGUCCCAAAGUCAUGGUUAAGUGGGAAACGAUGUGGGAAGGCCCAGACAGCCAGGAUGUUGGCUUAGAAGCAGCCAUCAUUUAAAGAAAGCGUAAUAGCUCACUGGUCGAGUCGGCCUGCGCGGAAGAUGUAACGGGGCUAAACCAUGCACCGAAGCUGCGGCAGCGACGCUGAUGCGUUGUUGGGUAGGGGAGCGUUCUGUAAGCCUGCGAAGGUGGCCUGUGAGGGUUGCUGGAGGUAUCAGAAGUGCGAAUGCUGACAUAAGUAACGAUAAAGCGGGUGAAAAGCCCGCUCGCCGGAAGACCAAGGGUUCCUGUCCAACGUUAAUCGGGGCAGGGUGAGUCGACCCCUAAGGCGAGGCCGAAAGGCGUAGUCGAUGGGAAACGGGUUAAUAUUCCCGUACUUGGUGUUACUGCGAAGGGGGGACGGAGAAGGCUAUGUUGGCCGGGCGACGGUUGUCCCGGUUUAAGCGUGUAGGUGUGUGUUCCAGGUAAAUCCGGUUCACUUUAACACUGAGGCGUGAUGACGAGGCACUACGGUGCUGAAGCAACAAAUGCCCUGCUUCCAGGAAAAGCCUCUAAGCAUCAGGUAACAUCAAAUCGUACCCCAAACCGACACAGGUGGUCAGGUAGAGAAUACCAAGGCGCUUGAGAGAACUCGGGUGAAGGAACUAGGCAAAAUGGUGCCGUAACUUCGGGAGAAGGCACGCUGACACGUAGGUGAAGUGAUUUACUCAUGGAGCUGAAGUCAGUCGAAGAUACCAGCUGGCUGCAACUGUUUAUUAAAAACACAGCACUGUGCAAACACGAAAGUGGACGUAUACGGUGUGACGCCUGCCCGGUGCCGGAAGGUUAAUUGAUGGGGUCAGCGCAAGCGAAGCUCCUGAUCGAAGCCCCGGUAAACGGCGGCCGUAACUAUAACGGUCCUAAGGUAGCGAAAUUCCUUGUCGGGUAAGUUCCGACCUGCACGAAUGGCGUAAUGAUGGCCAGGCUGUCUCCACCCGAGACUCAGUGAAAUUGAACUCGCUGUGAAGAUGCAGUGUACCCGCGGCAAGACGGAAAGACCCCGUGAACCUUUACUAUAGCUUGACACUGAACAUUGAGCCUUGAUGUGUAGGAUAGGUGGGAGGCUUUGAAGUGUGGACGCCAGUCUGCAUGGAGCCGGCCUUGAAAUACCACCCUUUAAUGUUUGAUGUUCUAACGUGGACCCGUGAUCCGGGUUGCGGACAGUGUCUGGUGGGUAGUUUGACUGGGGCGGUCUCCUCCUAAAGAGUAACGGAGGAGCACGAAGGUUGGCUAAUCCUGGUCGGACAUCAGGAGGUUAGUGCAAUGGCAUAAGCCAGCUUGACUGCGAGCGUGACGGCGCGAGCAGGUGCGAAAGCAGGUCAUAGUGAUCCGGUGGUUCUGAAUGGAAGGGCCAUCGCUCAACGGAUAAAAGGUACUCCGGGGAUAACAGGCUGAUACCGCCCAAGAGUUCAUAUCGACGGCGGUGUUUGGCACCUCGAUGUCGGCUCAUCACAUCCUGGGGCUGAAGUAGGUCCCAAGGGUAUGGCUGUUCGCCAUUUAAAGUGGUACGCGAGCUGGGUUUAGAACGUCGUGAGACAGUUCGGUCCCUAUCUGCCGUGGGCGCUGGAGAACUGAGGGGGGCUGCUCCUAGUACGAGAGGACCGGAGUGGACGCAUCACUGGUGUUCGGGUUGUCAUGCCAAUGGCACUGCCCGGUAGCUAAAUGCGGAAGAGAUAAGUGCUGAAAGCAUCUAAGCACGAAACUUGCCCCGAGAUGAGUUCUCCCUGAGACUUAGAGUCUCCUGAAGGAACGUUGAAGACGACGACGUUGAUAGGCCGGGUGUGUAAGCGCAGCGAUGCGUUGAGCUAACCGGUACUAAUGAACCGUGAGGCUUAACCUU